ACAUGAAUACAACAUAACGUUAAUGCAUCAAAUCCCAUUAGAACUCCACAGUUAAGCGCGCUCAUGCUAGAGUAGUAUUGGGAUGGGUGACCGCUCGAGAAGUCCUAGUGUUUUACAUGCC
Picea glauca (white spruce) is the source of this 121-nucleotide non-coding RNA. The record is from Rfam. Lineage: Eukaryota; Viridiplantae; Streptophyta; Pinopsida; Pinales; Pinaceae.